Molecule: ribosomal RNA, 497 nt
Filed under: uncultured bacterium
Lineage: Bacteria
Description: partial 16S ribosomal RNA
Rfam family: Bacterial small subunit ribosomal RNA
Source: RNAcentral
GAUGAACGCUGGCGGCGUGCCUAAUACAUGCAAGUCGAGCGAACAGACGAGGAGCUUGCUCCUCUGACGUUAGCGGCGGACGGGUGAGUAACCCGUGGAUAACCUACCUAUAAGACUGGGAUAACUUCGGGAAACCGGAGCUAAUACCGGAUAAUAUAUUGAACCGCAUGGUUCAAUAGUGAAAGACGGUUUUGCUGUCACUUAUAGAUGGAUCCGCGCCGCAUUAGCUAGUUGGUAAGGUAACGGCUUACCAAGGCGACGAUGCGUAGCCGACCUGAGAGGGUGAUCGGCCACACUGGAACUGAGACACGGUCCAGACUCCUACGGGAGGCAGCAGUAGGGAAUCUUCCGCAAUGGGCGAAAGCCUGACGGAGCAACGCCGCGUGAGUGAUGAAGGUCUUCGGAUCGUAAAACUCUGUUAUUAGGGAAGAACAAAUGUGUAAGUAACUAUGCACGUCUUGACGGUACCCAAUCAGAAAGCCACGGCUAACUACGUG